Molecule: long non-coding RNA, 1272 nt
Organism: Physeter macrocephalus (sperm whale)
Lineage: Eukaryota; Metazoa; Chordata; Mammalia; Artiodactyla; Physeteridae
Exons: 3
Source: RefSeq, a predicted model, not a curated record
CAGUUGUUGAAGAGACUGUCCUUAAGGCAUGUGUUUUAAUCAACUUUUAAAUAUCAUCUUAGAGGUUUUUUCCUUUCUAAUUUGUGAGAUAUAUGCUCUUUCACGCAGCCCCUUGCUGGUUUAUCGUCUCGCUUGGCUUCCGCGCACAGGGCCGUCGGUUACUGGGGAGCAGCACGGAAGAAGCACUGUCCCCAGGAGCAGAGCGCAGAGCUGGGGACUUGGUGUAUCCACAGCAGAAUUCCAGAUAACAUUCCUGCGUUAGGAGAAUGCAGUAGGAGAGUUUCACCAGAGCGCCUCAUCAUGUCUGCGUAUCCUUCAGGCAGGUGGCACCACAGAUUCCAGACUUCGGCACAGUGAUAUUUUCUCCUCCUGGAAGUUCCAGUGCCUUGACUGCAGCCUGUCCUACACCCCAUGCAGCCAUUCCUUUGAUGUCUUACUCAACGAGAUUUGCAUUCCAGCUUUUCCCAGAGCCUACCGACCAUCUUUUCAAUUUGGGGACUUUCUCCUUUUCAAAACUGACUUGUGGGAAACAGGCUAGGAGAAAAUGCUGUUUGCAAGCAACAUCUGCUUUUUACCCCAGAACACACAUCUUCCCUGAACGCAAAGAUCCAACUUGGAAAAACAGAAAGUGAACAAAAUCCAAAUGAUUGGAAAGGUUACAUCUUUCAACUUCUCAAGGUGGCUUAGUUUCCCCAUUUGUAAGUUGGGGGAAAUAUCGUUGUGAGGUUGGUUUAUGAGUGUUUAGCCCAGUGCAUGUAACGGCAAUCACUCAAUAAUGGUACAUGUAUUAUUUGCAAUAGGCUUGUUUUAGCCGCCUGAUGACCCUUCGUCUGUGAUCGGCACAUACUCCUUUUGAGGGAAUGGCUCUUCCCCAACUGUCCUAGCCAAAUGAAUCCAAAAGGAGCUCCCACCUUAUGAGCUGGCUAAAGGAUGGCUAAUAGUAUUCACUUCCCUGGCCAUAGGGACUGAUUGGCCAAGGGUUGAGCCCAUGGCCCUAGCCACGAAUACCUACUUAUACAACUAUUAAGUGUCGUGAAAGAAAGAGACAGAGGGAUCUGAUCUUGUCUAAGCAGCUCAGUCUAAGGCUGUUGAACUUUGGACAAGUCAUUUCUCCAUUUUGGGCCUUAGGUUUUCCCUUCUAUAAAAUCAGAGGACUGAGUGGGAGGUUCCAGAAGGGUUACAUCUGGGCUCUGGCAGGUUCCUCUCACCCACUUGCUGCUUCAUGUAGACUUCUGGGCUCUGCGGAAGGACCAGUGUACAGGGUUCUGUUGU